UGCUACACGGAGAAAGCAGAAAGAGAGAGACAGAGUCUAAGAAAGAUACACAAUCUAUCACAAAGAGAGACAGAGUUCGUACGGUGUUAAGAGAGAAAUAUCUAAGUUCCACCGUUAUGGUCAUUUUUUCCGCCGCCAUCCGUUCCCUCGCCAAACUCAGAACACCGAAACCACAGGCGCACACAAGAAUUGAGAUUGAGGAAGAGAAAUUUAAGUUUCAUUAACUCAGUCGAUCUGGCCAUUUACCUGCCAUCAUCAGAUCGCCGAAACUACCACCGCAAAUGUAGAAGCCACAGAAACAGUUUCAUUCUUGGUCUACACCAUUGAGAGAUCAGCAAAAUCUUAAGCAACUUGGAGUCAACAAGCCUACAGCUCUUGCUUUUAUGCUCUUUGCUUUCAUGUGGAGGGUGGCACUGACAAAUUGUUACUUUCUAAUUGGAAGAGUUAAGAGUUCCAAUAUGGAAUAUAGGUCUAACGCAGAAGAUUAACCUCAAGUCGAACAGUGGACCUGUCAAGGUGACUGGUGAUGUUUCAAUUCAUCCGAGUGAAAUAGAGCUGGCACUUUAGUGCAUCAUGGCCAAAAUAUGGCUAAUCUAACUAAAUUGUUUUUUGGUUAAAGAGAUCUUAGACUUAAUUUUCUGCUAUUGGGGAAUUUUGAACUUUUGGCAUUGUUAUUGAACCUGACUCUAUAUUACACAAUUGUCAUUUUUGUUUUUUUGAAGUGAUUGACAUUAACAAGCCUUUAUUAAAAAUAUUAACUGUUGUACAUCA
This is a long non-coding RNA of Quercus robur (English oak), 771 nucleotides long. RefSeq lists it as uncharacterized. The transcript has 5 exons. NCBI's taxonomy places the organism in Eukaryota, Viridiplantae, Streptophyta, Magnoliopsida, Fagales, Fagaceae. The record is from RefSeq and is a predicted model, not a curated record.